UUCCCGGUGGUCCAGUGGUUAGGACUUGUCACUUUCACUGCCAAGGGCCUGGGUUCAAUUCCUAGCUGGGGAA
Molecule: transfer RNA, 73 nt
Organism: Ovis aries (sheep)
Lineage: Eukaryota; Metazoa; Chordata; Mammalia; Artiodactyla; Bovidae
Rfam family: tRNA
About the family: Transfer RNA (tRNA) molecules are approximately 80 nucleotides in length.
Source: Rfam